GAAAUUCAAGGGAAUUACAUUACUAUAAUUCUCAAUUUGACAAGUUUAUUGAAUACAACAUAUACACUUCAAGUAAAGGGUCAUGAGUUCUUGAUUUUCUGAUUGAGAAAUGAACUGACCCUCUUCUAUCACAAAAACUUGCACAUCAAAAUGUUAUCUAGUUAAUCACUAAAAGGGGAGGAGGAGGGCACCACCAUAACAACCUCUCAUCCAAAACCCCCCACCAAAUAACCCCGAUCGACCUUCGAGUUGAAGGAGAUGAGUAAAAAUGUAUGAUACACACUAUACAUAAGAAUCAUAAACGGGAACGAGUCUGAUGAAAAUUGGAUUGGUUAGUCAAAGCUUGAUGAUCGGCUCCAUCUCCCUCGUAAAUAGUCCUCUAACGAGACAUUGUGCUCAAUGCUGCUUAUCGAGAGAGAAUCCUCUUCAACGCCGAGUAAUGCAAGGUUAAGGUGUGAACGGAGAUUAGAAUGUGAAAAGGUGUCAUCUUCCAACAUAUCGGCUCCUUCCAUGCCAUUUAUGGGUAGCUUUGUGUCGGAUCCUUCUGAACCAUUGACUUGAAACCUUGCCCACUUGGUUGUUUCAUCAUCGCCUUUGAGCAGCUUUGAAACAAUGCUCAUUUGUGGUCGAGCUCGUGGAGCACGUCUGAUACAAAGGGCAGCAGCCAGCACCAUCCUUUCUACUAGU
This 687-nucleotide unclassified non-coding RNA is filed under the name Hevea brasiliensis (rubber tree). Lineage: Eukaryota; Viridiplantae; Streptophyta; Magnoliopsida; Malpighiales; Euphorbiaceae. The record is from RNAcentral.